CCUACGGGUGGCAGCAGUCGAGAAUCAUUCACAAUGGGGGAAACCCUGAUGGUGCGACGCCGCGUGGGGGAAUGAAGGUCUUCGGAUUGUAAACCGCUGUCAUGUGGGCGCAAAUUAAAAAGCUAGUACCACACGCGGAAGAGACGGCUAACUCUGUGCGAGCAGCCGCGGUAAUACAGAGGUUUCAAGCGUUGUUAGGAAUUAGUGGGUGUAAAGCGUGGGUAGGCGGUUUCGUAAGUCGGAUGUGAAAGGCUGGGGCUCAACUCGCGAAUUGCAUAUGAUACUGCGCGGCUAGAGAAAAGGAGCGGUAAGCGGAAUGUAUGGUGUAGCAGUGAAAUGCGUAGAGAUCGUAAAGAACACCCAUUGCGAAGGCAGGUUACUAAGCUACUUCUGACGCUGAGGCACGAAGGCGUGGGGAGCAAACAGGAUUAGAUACCCCUGUAGUC
This 446-nucleotide ribosomal RNA is filed under the name uncultured bacterium. RNAcentral's name for it is "partial 16S ribosomal RNA". It matches the Rfam family "Bacterial small subunit ribosomal RNA", at positions 338 to 795 of the family's 1533-position model. The record is from RNAcentral.